AUGUCCCAAUUGUUUCCUCUUGCCAUUGUGACCCGACGGUUCACUGUUUUCAGUGUCCUCCUCUCUCUCCCCACCCUGUCCUCCUCUCUCUCCUCACCCUGUCCUCCUCUCUCUCUCCUCACCCUGUCCUCCUCUCUCUCCUCACCCUGUCCUCCUCUCUCUCCUCACCCUGUCCUCCUCUCUCUCCUCACCCUGUCCUCCUCUCUCUCUCCUCACCCUGUCCUCCUCUCUCUCCCCACCCUGUCCUCCUCUCUCUCCCCACCCUGUCCUCCUCUCUCUCCUCACCCUGUCCUCCUCUCUCUCUCCUCACCCUGUCCUCCCCUCUCUCCCCACCCUGUCCUCCUCUCUCCCCACCAUAGCCUCUCUAUCCCCACCCUGUCCUCUCUCUUCCCACCCUGUCCUCCUCUCUCUCCCCACCCUGUCCUCCUCUCUCCCCACCCUGUCCUCCUCUCUCCCCACCAUAGCCUCUCUAUCCCCACCCUGUCCUCUCUCUUCCCACCCUGUCCUCCUCUCUCUCCCCACCCUGUCCUCCUCUCUCUCUCCCCACCCUGUCCUCCUCUCUCUCCUCACCCUGUCCUCUCCUCUCUCUCCUCACCCUGUCCUCCUCUCUCUCCCCACCCUGUCCUCCUCUCUCUCCCCACCCUGUCCUCCUCUCUCUCCCCACCCUGUCCUCCUCUCUCUCCUCACCCUGUCCUCCUCUCUCUCCUCACCCUGUCCUCCUCCUCUCUCUCCUCACCCUGUCCUCCCCUCUCUCCCCACCCUGUCCUCCUCUCUCCCCACCAUAGCCUCUCUAUCCCCACCCUGUCCUCUCUCUUCCCACCCUGUCCUCCUCUCUCUCCCCACCCAUCCUCUCUCUCCCCACCCUGUCCUCCUCUCUCCCCACCCUGUCCUCCUCUCUCUCCUCACCCUGUCCUCCCCUCUCUCCCCACCCUGUCCUCCUCUCUCCCCACCAUAGCCUCUCUAUCCCCACCCUGUCCUCUCUCUUCCCACCCUGUCCUCCUCUCUCUCCCCACCCAUCCUCUCUCUCCCCACCCUGUCCUCCUCUCUCCCCACCCUGUCCUCUCUCUUCCCACCCUGUCCUCCUCUCUCUCCUCACCCUGUCCUCCUCUCUCUCCCCACCCUGUCCUCCUCUCUCCUCACCCUGUCCUCCCCUCUCUCCCCACCCUGUCCUCCUCUCUCUCCCCACCCUGUCCUCCUCUCUCUCCCCACCCUGUCCUCCUCUCUCUCCUCACCCUGUCCUCCCCUCUCUCCCCACCCUGUCCUCCCCUCUCUCCCCACCCUGUCCUCCUCUCUCUCCCCACCCUGUCCUCCUCUCUCUCCCCACCCUGUCCUCCUCUCUCUCCUCACCCUGUCCUCCCCUCUCCCCACCCUGUCCUCCUCUCUCUCCCCACCCUGUCCUCCUCUCUCUCUCCCCACCCUGUCCUCCUCUCUCUCCCCACCCUGUCCUCCUCUCUCUCCCCACCCUGUCCUCCUCUCUCUCCCCACCCUGUCCUCCUCUCUCUCCUCACCCUGUCCUCCCCUCUCUCCCCACCCUGUCCUCCCCUCUCUCCCCACCAUAGCCUCUCUAUCCCCACCCAUCCUCUUUCUCCCCACCCUGUCCUCCUCUCUCUCCCCACCAUAGCCUCUCUCUCCCCACCCUGUCCUCCUCUCUCUCCACCCUAUCCUAUUCUGACAGUGUAG
Molecule: long non-coding RNA, 1680 nt
Organism: Salmo trutta (river trout)
Lineage: Eukaryota; Metazoa; Chordata; Actinopteri; Salmoniformes; Salmonidae
Source: Ensembl